Molecule: ribosomal RNA, 888 nt
Filed under: Pleurotus sp. IOO-2013c
Lineage: Eukaryota; Fungi; Basidiomycota; Agaricomycetes; Agaricales; Pleurotaceae
Description: eukaryotic LSU rRNA
Rfam family: Eukaryotic large subunit ribosomal RNA (bases 599-888)
Source: RNAcentral
GCGGAAGGAUCAUUAAUGAAUUCACUAUGGAGUUGUUGCUGGCCUCUAGGGGCAUGUGCACGCUUCACUAGUCUUUCAACCACCUGUGAACUUUUGAUAGAUCUGUGAAGUCGUCCUUCAAGUCGUCAGACUUGGUUUGCUGGGAUUUAAACGUCUCGGUGUGACAACGCAGUCUAUUUACUUAACACACCCCAAAUGUAUGUCUACGAAUGUCAUUUAAUGGGCCUUGUGCCUAUAAACCAUAAUACAACUUUCAACAACGGAUCUCUUGGCUCUCGCAUCGAUGAAGAACGCAGCGAAAUGCGAUAAGUAAUGUGAAUUGCAGAAUUCAGUGAAUCAUCGAAUCUUUGAACGCACCUUGCGCCCCUUGGUAUUCCGAGGGGCAUGCCUGUUUGAGUGUCAUUAAAUUCUCAAACUCACAUUUAUUUGUGAUGUUUGGAUUGUUGGGGGUUGCUGGCUGUAACAAGUCGGCUCCUCUUAAAUGCAUUAGCAGGACUUCUCAUUGCCUCUGCGCAUGAUGUGAUAAUUAUCACUCAUCAAUAGCACGCAUGAAUAGAGUCCAGCUCUCUAAUCGUCCGCAAGGACAAUUUGACAAUUUGACCCUCAAAUCAGGUAGGACUACCCGCUGAACUUAAGCAUAUCAAUAAGCGGAGGAAAAGAAACUAACAAGGAUUCCCCUAGUAACUGCGAGUGAAGCGGGAAAAGCUCAAAUUUAAAAUCUGGUGGUCUUUGGCCAUCCGAGUUGUAAUCUAGAGAAGUGUUAUCCGCGCUGGACCGUGUACCAAACUUUUCCCGAAAAAAACCAUAGAGGGUGAGAAUCUCGUCUUUGACACCGACUACCAGGGCUUUGUGAUGCACUCUCAAAGAGUCGAGUUGUUUGGGAAUGCA